AAGUGCCUCUGUCUUUCGACA
RNAcentral lists this microRNA (21 nucleotides) under Solanum tuberosum (potato). RNAcentral's name for it is "stu-miR3627-3p". Lineage: Eukaryota; Viridiplantae; Streptophyta; Magnoliopsida; Solanales; Solanaceae. The record is from miRBase by way of RNAcentral.